RNAcentral lists this ribosomal RNA (869 nucleotides) under 'Cicadulina bipunctata' phytoplasma. Its description in RNAcentral is "bacterial SSU rRNA". It matches the Rfam family "Bacterial small subunit ribosomal RNA", at positions 359 to 1228 of the family's 1533-position model. The record is from RNAcentral. Lineage: Bacteria; Bacillati; Mycoplasmatota; Mollicutes; Acholeplasmatales; Acholeplasmataceae.
UCUGCGAGCAAGGGGAGAAUCUGUGCGAGAGCAACGGCGCGAGAGACGAUGAUAGUAUUUCUAUACGUAAUUCUCUAUCAUUAGAGGAAGAAUAAAUGAUGGAAACAUCAUUCUGACGGUACUUAAUGAAUAAGCCCCGGCUAAUUAUGUGCCAGCAGCCGCGGUAAUACAUAGGGGGCAAGCGUUAUCCGGAAUUAUUGGGCGUAAAGGGUGCGUAGGCGUUUAAAAAAGUUUAUGGUCUAAAGUGCAAUGCUUUAACAUGUCGAUGCUAUAAAAACUGUUUAGCUAGAGUAAGAUAGAGGGCAAGUGGAAUUCCCAUGUGUAGGUGGUAAAAUGCGUAAAUAUAUGGAGGAACACCAGUAGCGAAGGCGGCCUUGCUGGGUCUUUACUGACGCUGAGGCACGAAAGCGUGGGGGAGCAAACAGGAUUAGAUACCCCUGGUAGUCCCACGCCGUAAACGAUGAGUACUAAAUGUUGGGUAAAACCAGUGUUGAAGUUAACACAUUAAGUACUCCGCCUGAGUAGUACGUACGCAAGUAUGAAACUUAAAGGAAUUGACGGGACUCCGCACAAGCGGUGGAUCAUGUUGUUUAAUUCGAAGAUACCCGAAAAACCUCACCAGGUCUUGACAUGUUUUUGCAAAGCUGUAGAAACACAGUGGAGGUUAUCAGUUGCACAGGUGGUGCAUGGUUGUCGUCAGCUCGUGUCGUGAGAUGUUGGGUUAAGUCCCGCAACGAGCGCAACCCUUAUCGUUAGUUGCCAGCACGUAAUGGUGGGGACUUUAACGAGACUGCCAGUGAUAAAUUGGAGGAAGGUGGGGAUGACGUCAAAUCAGCAUGCCCCUUAUGACCUGGCUACAAACUUUCCCC